GUUAUUUUGGCAGAAAAGUGUGAUAGAUUUAGGAUCUUUUUAUGUAGACAAUUUAGCUACAAAUAAUA
RNAcentral lists this transfer RNA (68 nucleotides) under Gnathotrichus materiarius. RNAcentral's name for it is "tRNA-Leu". The record is from RNAcentral. Lineage: Eukaryota; Metazoa; Arthropoda; Insecta; Coleoptera; Curculionidae.